UGUUGGAGGUGAUGCAUGCCGAGAUGGUGUUGCAGGUGAUGAUGAAUGCUAUGAUGACGAAAAAUUUAGAGCUGAGAUCAGCAUUGUUCGAAACCUACUCAGUGUUGUUUCAGAUGGAAGCCCACUUGUCAGGGCAGAGGUUGCUGUAGCUUUAGCACGCUUUGCAUUUGGCCAUAAGCAGCACCUCAAGUCAAUUGCUGCUGCAUAUUGGAAACCCCAGUCAAAUUCUGUACUGAAUUCAUUACCUUCGUUGGCCCAUAUAAAAGUUACAGGUAGUGGAUGUACUAAUGCAAACCAGUAUAUGUCGCAUGCAAGUAUUCUUUCAUCUCAAAUUGGUCCUUUAACGAGAGUUGGAAAUGACAAUCAAUCGGUGGUUCGAGAUAGGAGGGUCUCUACUAGUAGUCCUCUUACCACAUCUGGAAUUAUGCAGGGAUCGCCUUUAUCUGAUGAUUCGUCUCAACAUUCUGAUCCGGGAAUGUUGAAUGAUGUUGUCAGCAAUGGGGUUGUCCACCAUUCGAGACCAAAACCAUUGGAUAAUGCAAUGUAUUCACAGUGUGUACUGGCUAUCUGUACACUGGCUAAGGAUCCCUCUCCACGCAUUGCAAGUCUUGGUCGGCGGGUACUGUCCAUUAUUGGAAUUGAACAAGUGGUGACAAAAACUGUCAACUCUACUGGUGGUAGUGGUCGGCCUGCUGAACAUACAGCUUCAUCUCCAACUCCAAGUCUUGCAGGAUUAGCUCGUUCAUCAUCAUGGUUUGACAUGAAUGCAGGUCAUCUGCCUUUAACAUUCAGAACUCCUCCUGUCAGUCCUCCUCGACCAAGUUACUUAACAGGAAUGCGCAGAGUUUGUUCUUUAGAGUUCAGGCCUCACCUAAUGAAUUCUCCAGAUUCUGGAUUAGCUGAUCCUCUUUUAGGUUCUGCUGGAUCUUCUGGGGGUUCAGAGCGCAGUUUACUUCCGCAAUCAAUUAUUUAUAAUUGGAGCUGUGGUCACUUCUCAAAGCCUCUUCUUAAUACAGCAGAUGAUACUGAAGAAAUGUUGGUUAGAAGAGAAGAAAGGGAAAAGUUUGCACUGGAGCACAUUGCCAAGUGUCAACACUCAUCUGUUAGCAGGUUAGAUAAUCAAAUUGCUGGUUGGGACACAAAGUUUGAAACAGGAACAAAGGCAGCCUUGUUGCAACCUUUCUCUCCUAUUGUCAUUGCUGCUGAUGAAAAUGAGCGGAUAAGGGUAUGGAAUUAUGAGGAUGCAGCCCUUCUCAACGGAUUUGAUAAUCAUGAGUUUCCUGACAAAGGAAUUUCUAAACUCUGCCUUGUAAAUGAGCUUGAUGACAGUUUGCUUCUUGUUGCUUCAUGUAAUACUUCAUAAUAGUUAGUUUCUAGGUUUUGAGAUUGGUUUAUUAGAUUGUUAGAUUUUUCAAAUCAAUCCUUUGCUUUACCUAUUUGAUUUAGGUGAUGGAAAUAUUCGGAUUUGGAAAGAUUAUAUACUCAAGGGUAAACAAAAACUUGUUACUGCAUUUUCUUCAAUCCAGGGUCAUAAACCUGGUGUACGGAGUUUAAAUGCUGUCAUAGAUUGGCAACAGCAAUCUGGAUAUCUGGUACAUGCUUAGUUUAAGAUAAUACUAUUUGUAGGCUUUUUUAUGUUUAUAUAUUGGUGUUUUAGGGUGCUGUGAUGCAUUUUUCUGGUAUUGCAUCAUUUCAGUAUGCUUCUGGUGAGAUAUCUUCCAUAAUGCUUUGGGACCUAGAUAAAGAGCAAUUGCUUAAUUCUAUUCCAUCCUCAACAGAUUGCAGCAUCUCAGCAUUGUCUGCUUCUCAAGUUCAUGGGGGUCAAUUUGCAGCAGGUUUUGUGGAUGGUUCUGUCAGACUCUAUGAUAUCCGGACACCUGAAAUGCUUGUGUGUGCUAAACGACCCCAUACAAGAGUAGAAAGAGUAGUUGGUAUUGGCUUUCAACCUGGUCUUGAUUCUGGGAAGUUUGUCAGUGCAUCUCAGGCUGGUGAUAUUGAGUUCCUGGAUAUCAGAAAUCCCAGGGAUACAUACCUCACAAUUAAUGCUCACAGGGGCUCACUUACAGCUUUAGCUGUUCAUAGGCAUGCCCCUAUCAUUGCCAGUGGCUCAGCAAAACAAAUUAUUAAAGUAUUCAGCCUGGAGGGUGAAGUACUGGGCACCAUUCGGUAUUACUCAACUUUUAUGGCCCAGACGAUUGGUCCUGUUAGCUGUCUCACCUUCCAUCCAUACCAAGUGCUGCUUGCUGCUGGGGCUGCAGAUGCUUGUGUUUCCAUAUAUACUGAUGACAAUGCUCAAGCAAGAUGAGUGACAUUCUUUACUGGUGUGUUUGGAGUCGUCUUGAUGAGCAGCACAAGGGAAUGGGCUUACUAUGAUCGCCAAUGCUGUUUUCUGAGUGCAAUUUACUCAUCAGAUGUGACACUCCAUUGAGCCAAUCAUGCUUGGCUGGAACCUGGGUUUGGCUCGGACUUCUGAAAUUGUAUGAUACAUAUUCAUUAGCCUCCAGUGUAAGAGGGUCAAUUCAAUCAAGAUGAGAAGAAAUCCUGCAUACUCAUCAGUGGGGGCUUUGGCAAAUAAUUGUUAUAUUGGUAAAUUUGUGUAAAUAGCUUCAUUUCCCUUUGCAUCUUUCCUUUCUUCGUGUGUUUAUUGAUCUAUCCAUUCCCUUGUUCGUUGUAAAAUCAUAAUUUAAGCGUUGCAGAAUGCAGACAGAUGUUGAUAUGGAUGCCAUCCCCCUGAAUUGCGGGGAAUUCAACCUGUUAAAUGUCCCUGAUUAUGUUUAUGGUUCGCUGGUCUAAACCCAACUCCCCACCAGAAAAGAAGGGAUAAAAAAGAGACGUACCAUUUCUGAUCUCUCUUUUUAAAACUUCACCCCUAACCAUAUCGCAGGGAUUUGCUAAUCAUUGAGUAGCUACUUGUUAAAUACGUAGCUUAAGCAAAUCGAGUUUCGAGAAUGUGUUAUUCCAUGUGUCUGAUGUUUUCGUUCAAAGGGGUAUUAAUUAGGUUGGCAAUGGGGUGAAUCUCGUUGGCUGCUUUUUUUUUAUUUAUUAAAUUUUCUUUUUAAAAUUAAUAUGCAAACAAACAUUCAAAGCUUUAUAUAAUUUGAUGUACA
Molecule: unclassified non-coding RNA, 3107 nt
Filed under: Hevea brasiliensis (rubber tree)
Lineage: Eukaryota; Viridiplantae; Streptophyta; Magnoliopsida; Malpighiales; Euphorbiaceae
Source: RNAcentral